Molecule: ribosomal RNA, 425 nt
Filed under: uncultured delta proteobacterium
Lineage: Bacteria; Deltaproteobacteria
Description: bacterial SSU rRNA
Rfam family: Bacterial small subunit ribosomal RNA
Source: RNAcentral
CUCGACCUCGGAAGUGCUGCUGAAACUGUUUGGCUUGAGUAUGGUAGAGGGAAGCGGAAUUCCUGGUGUAGCGGUGAAAUGCGUAGAUAUCAGGAGGAACACCGGUGGCGAAGGCGGCUUCCUGGCCCAAUACUGACGCUGAGGCGCGAAGGCGUGGGUAGCAAACAGGAUUAGAUACCCUGGUAGUCCACGCAGUAAACGGUGAUCACUAGGUGUUGGGGGUAUUGAUACCCGCAGUGCCGAAGCUAACGCAUUAAGUGAUCCGCCUGGGGAGUACGGUCGCAAGAUUAAAACUCAAAGGAAUUGACGGGGGCCCGCACAAGCGGUGGAGCAUGUGGUUUAAUUCGACGCAAUGCGAAGAACCUUACCUGGGUUUGACAUCUGGGGAAUGCCUGUGAAAGCAGGCAGUGCCUUUCGGGGAGCCC